UACGGGGGGGGCAAGCGUUGUUCGGAAUUACUGGGCGUAAAGGGCUCGUAGGCGGCCAACUAAGUCAGACGUGAAAUCCCUCGGCUUAACCGGGGAACUGCGUCUGAUACUGGAUGGCUUGAGGUUGGGAGAGGGAUGCGGAAUUCCAGGUGUAGCGGUGAAAUGCGUAGAUAUCUGGAGGAACACCGGUGGCGAAGGCGGCAUCCUGGACCAAUUCUGACGCUGAGGAGCGAAAGCCAGGGGAGCAAA
RNAcentral lists this ribosomal RNA (249 nucleotides) under uncultured bacterium. RNAcentral describes it as "partial 16S ribosomal RNA". It matches the Rfam family "Bacterial small subunit ribosomal RNA", at positions 524 to 772 of the family's 1533-position model. The record is from RNAcentral.